AUUGAACGCUGGCGGCAGGCCUAACACAUGCAAGUCGAGCGGAUGAAGGGAGCUUGCUCCUGGAUUCAGCGGCGGACGGGUGAGUAAUGCCUAGGAAUCUGCCUGGUAGUGGGGGAUAACGUCCUGAAACGGGCGCUAAUACCGCAUACGUCCUGCGGGAGCAAGUGGGGGAUCUUCGGACCUCACGCUAUCAGAGGAGCCUAGGUCGGAUUAGCUAGUUGGUGGGGUAAAGGCCUACUAAGGCGACGAUCCGUAACUGGUCUGAGAGGAUGAUCAGUCACACUGGAACUGAGACACGGUCCAGACUCCUACGGGAGGCAGCAGUGGGGAAUAUUGGACAGUGGGCGAAAGCCUUAUCCAGCCAUGCCGCGUGUGUGAAGAAGGUCUUCGGAUUGUAAAGCACUUUAAGUUGGGAGGAAGGGCAGUAAGUUAAUACCUUGCUGUUUUGACGUUACCAACAGAAUAAGCACCGGCUAACUUCGUG
Molecule: ribosomal RNA, 484 nt
Filed under: uncultured bacterium
Lineage: Bacteria
Description: partial 16S ribosomal RNA
Rfam family: Bacterial small subunit ribosomal RNA
Source: RNAcentral